GGGAGCGCGAUUCAGGCCGGACGCGGAUUCCCUUUCCCAGAAGGCCCCGCGCGGAGAGGGGCCGCCGUGGGUAAGAUGGCGGCAGGUCCUGGGCCUCGCUGAGGCGGCGGCUCGGGACUGGGAUGGAGCCUCCGGCCUCGGGUCCUGAGCGGCUCUUCGACGCGCACCGGUUUCCCAGCGAUGGCUUCCUGCUGCUGGCUCUGCUGCUCUACGCCCCUGUGGGGCUCUGUCUGCUUCUCCUGCGCCUCUUCAUCGGCAUCCACGUCUUCCUGGUCAGCUGCGCCCUGCCUGACAGCUUGCUCCGGAGGUUAGGGUUUAUCGUGCGUGUGAUGUGUUCGGUGCUGGGUCUGUUUGUGCGGCAAAGUGACUCCCAUCUCCGGGAUGCCAAUGUCAGGGUUUAUAUUGCCAACCACGUGACGCCCUUCGACCACAGUGUCAUCAACCUACUGACCUCGUGCAAUACCCCUGCGCUGAAUGGCACACCGGGUUUCAUCUGCUGGUCGCGGGGAUUCAUGGAGCUGGGGGCGGUGGGGAGCCGGGCAGAGCUGGUGGAUUCCCUGAAGGUGUAUUCGUCCCAUGGGGGGAAUCCACCUCUGCUGCUGUUCCCAGAGGAGGCAGCCACUAACGGCCGAGUUGGCCUUCUUCGCUUCAGCUCCUGGCCAUUCUCAAUCCUGGACAUGAUUCAGCCCGUGGCUCUGCAAGUUCAGAGGCCCUUAAUUGCUGUGAGUGUGGCCGACUCCUCCUGGAUCACAGAGCUGCUCUGGACCUUCUUUGUUCCCUUCACAGUUUAUCAAGUAAGGUGGAUGCCGCCUGUCUUCAGACAAGCUGAUGAGCCGAAUGAGGAGUUUGCCCUCCGAGUUCAGGAGCUCUUGGCCGUGGAGCUGGGUGUGGUUUCUACGCGACUCACUGCUGCGGAUAAAGCCGAGCAUAUGAAGAGGCUCAGACACACCCCGCCUCACCUCUUUGCCCCAGCCUCAAGCCAGUCCUUGGUUGUCAGGCCAAGGGCAUCUCCCAGCCUGGCUGGUGUCGGGCCUCUUGUUCCCGAGGACGUGCGGAUCACGGAGAUGGCCCAGCGGGUCAAGGAAGUGCUCCCACAUGUGUCUCUGGGAACCAUCAGGAGAGACCUGGCCCAGACCAACUGCGUGGACACUACCAUCGCCAACCUCCUGGAGGGCCACGUGCCCCUCCUCCCUGAGGACAAGGAUCCGGAACCUGACCUGCUUGCUCCGUCGACGUCCCAGACUCCAGCGGCCUCCAGCUCUCAGUGCCCUGCAGCUUCAUCCUCCUCCAAGCCCUCUGUGAAGCUCUUUGCGAAGUCCCCUGUGGAGAGGCAUUUGUCCCUGCAGGAGCGGAAACAUGUGCUGUAUGCCUACGCCAGGAGGAAUUAACCAUCCGCCACCUGACUACCACGAUGGUCUGGCUAUCGCCUCAGCUUGGAAGGAGAUACACGGAGAAAUAUGGGACGCCGCGGGGUGAUGGGAGCCACUGAGGCGCCCCUCACCCUCCUGCCUGUGGCGUGUGCAGGGCUCCGGCCAUUGGGAGCGUGACCUCAGCAUGGCCGUUUUGCAUGAUUCACAGCACUGCAGUGGGAUCCCAAAGCCUCCGAAUCAGCACGCUUGAGAUGCAGCGGGGCCUUCGUGGCGUGUGCCAGCCCAGGCAGGCAGUGCUCAGCUGCCCACGGUGGGGCAGUAAGUGCCUGUGUAUCCCCGCAUCACACUCGACCUGCCUCCGGCGAGCCACACGGGGUUGGAGAGCUGAAACCGGGCUGCCCACGGGGGACUGGACUCCGCAUCAGCCUGGCCCGGCCGCCUCCACUUGGGCUGUUGUUAAACUGGGCAAAGGGGGUUUCUUCUCUGCCACAAAAAAUAAAUCUGACUCUAUUAUG
This is an RNA transcript of Mauremys reevesii (Reeves's turtle), 1885 nucleotides long. It is a transcript of the gene named AUP1 lipid droplet regulating VLDL assembly factor, with no coding region annotated. NCBI's taxonomy places the organism in Eukaryota, Metazoa, Chordata, Testudines, Geoemydidae. The transcript is spliced from 13 exons. The record is from RefSeq and is a predicted model, not a curated record.